This is a long non-coding RNA of Grus americana (Whooping crane), 3730 nucleotides long. RefSeq lists it as uncharacterized. The record is from RefSeq and is a predicted model, not a curated record. Lineage: Eukaryota; Metazoa; Chordata; Aves; Gruiformes; Gruidae. The transcript is spliced from 3 exons.
GCUGGCAAUACAGGCACUAGCAGUUACAUAAAUCGGUGCUAAAAAUAAACUUCAGAGGCACGGGGUGGGCAGCGGCUGGGGCCGGGCCCGACAGCGCUGCCCGCCGAGGCCCGCGGGGCCGAGCUCAGCCCCGCAGCACCGGGAGCACGGAGGGUCCCCGCCUGCCGGGCCCACCCCAGAGCCACCCCGCCGGCGGCGCUCCGGCCGGGGCCCGCGGCGAGGCCCGGCCCGAUUCAGCCCAACAAGUUGCCAGAGUGGGGACGCGGGCGGCCCCUGCUUACCACCAGCACGGGCACCCCUGCGGUCAGCGAGUAGAGGAGCACCGGGGGCACGGCGCUGCGGUCCUCCGGGCCCGGGUAGGGCUUUCGGUACGCGCCCUCGUAGCAGAAGAAGCCUUGCACGUUGACCGUGAAGGUGUCCGUGUACUCGAAAUAAUAAGCCAGCAUCACGGUCCCUGCCAUGAUCACCAUCUGGAAGUAAAGCAUGCUGCUACAAAGAAAAUGGGUAGCUGGGCACAAACAUAUCCUCACCCAAGUAACAUUCAGAGUAAGAGGACCUACAUUUUGCAUUUGAGUGGCUAUGCAGAACCUUAAGAGCUAAAUCAUGGAGAAGAGAUCAACAAUACAUAACAGUAUUAUUAGAAACAAAUCUGCAUGACAAACUGCACUUCCCUGUUCAUGUGCUGUUUCAUUUCACACUGAAGAAAAAAGUUAUCAGGCAUCUUACUCCAUACCUAAAGGGGAUUACAAGUCUUGGAAUGGGAAUAAAUACACAAAUAAAUUAACACCGACAAGCAUACUUGGCAGAAGCAGAAACCACACUCUAAUUCCAUUCAUCUAAGAGCAGACUCCAGUAUACAUAUCUAGUAUUUCACUUCAGUGUGAUAUCUUUAAAGUCCAUUGCAAAAAAAAAAAGAUUAAAAUUUUAAAAUUCUAGAUUUAACGAAAAAUAUAUUUUGAGAGUUAUAAAUUAAAAUAAGGAUUGUUUGAUAAGUUGUGAUUUUGAAGGCUGUCUAUUUUGAUGGGAGAUGUGAAAUGAUUUUACUUACUUCCUUGAGAGAGAUUAUAAAUAACGUCCUUCUUAGGCAGAAAAUAAAUCCUUAGAACCCAAAGGGUAAAGGAGAAACUAAGAUUGACCUCCUGCUGUUGAAUCAGCUGUAAAUUGUCUGAGUCAUCUUGAUUCUCAGAUAUGAGAAAGCUCACAAUUCAAUGAAGAAUAAAUUGCAUAAAGAGCUCUGCAGAGUGCAUAACCAAGUCAGAGAUAAAUGUCAGCCAGGAUCUCCUGAGAAGCAUGAAAAAAGGGCAUUGCUGUAUUGCUACAAAACAUAGCAGGACGAGGGAGGUGAUGCUCCCCCUCUACCCCGCUCUUGUGAGACCCCCCCUGGAGUACUGCAUCCAGCUCAGGAGCCCUCAGCAAAGGAACAACAUGGACCUGUUGGAGUGAGUCCAGAGGAGGCCACGAAGAUGAUCAGAGGGCUGGAGCACCUCUCCUAUGAGGACAGGCUGAGAGAGUUGGGGUUGUUCAGCCUGGAGAAAAGAAGGCUCCGGGAAGACCUUAGAGCAGCCUUCCAGUACCUAAAGGGGCCUACAAGAAAGCUGGAGAGGGACUGUUUACAAGGACAUGGAGUGAUAGUACAGGGGGGAAUGGCUUUAAACUGAAGGAGGGUAGAUUUAGAUUAGAGAUUAGGAAGAAAUUCUUUAGUGUGAGGGUGAUGAGGCAGUGGAACAGGUUGCCCAGAGAAGUUGUGGAUGCCCCAUCCCUGGAAAUGUUCAAGGCCAGGUUGGAUGGGGCUUUGGGCAACCUGGUCUAGUGGAGGGUGUCCCUGCCCAUGGCAGGGGGGUUGGAACUGGGUGAUCUUUGAGGUCCUUUCCAACCCAAAACAUUCUAUGAUUUUAUGAUUCUAUAUCCCCAAUAAAAACUAAAAAAAGACAAAGCCUAUGAGCAUCGUUAAGCACAGUUCAGAGCUCUAUGCCAAGAAGUCAGAAGUCCCUUGCACAUUAAGGUAAAUUUUUCACAAAAUUUAGAUAGGUAGUUGAUGAAUGUAACUCACAAAUAUCCUAAGUACAUAGAAGUCAAUAUUCUCAAAGGUACUUAUACUAAAGGAUCUGCCUACUUGCAGAGUUAGGAAUGCAGGAAUAUUCUAAUUCCUGCGUUCAAAAAAGGUAAGUUUAGUAAUUUCUGAAAGUUAAUACUGGGUGAAAGAAUUAUACCUUCUUUAGAGAUUCCAGUGAGUAUACUUAUACACACAAGUGGAAAAAAAGAAAAACAGAUAAAACAGCUGGGGAAACUAACUUCUGAUAUUGCAUGGCUUUGAGGAGAUUGAUCUCAAAAUCUGAUGCUUACAUGAAUUUCUUUAAUGGAAAAGAUGCUAGCAGGAAAACAAUAAAUAAACAAGUGCAGCAACAUACCAUAAGAAUUCAAUGUCUGAUACAGAAAACCAAGUGCAAAAGAGACUGUAUAAAUGAUACCUUGAACCAGGAGGAGCUCUUGACAGCAAUAGCAUAUAACAGAUGUUUGCACAGCUCAAGUUCUGCCAUGCAGAUUCAGUUUUUGAGCUUUCAAAGUCUUAUAGAAUUUACAUUUUUCCCUCCAGCUUGGGUAGUCAGAUACAGACUCUUAGAUCCAUCCACUAGGAUCAACAGAUAAAAAGAGGUUAAUCUCUUUGAAUUAGACUAAUGAAAGUAUCUGGAACAGAUGACAGAAUACCCAAGUGCAUCUUUUCUAUAAUUUGUCAAUUGAAGGGGACAGGGGUUUCUGGAAAGUAGUAGCUUACAAGACUUUUUUUGACAGUAGUAGCUUACAAGACUGUUCUGUAGAGAAAAGCUGACAUUUUGAAAGGUAUAGAGCUUAGUAUCACCAAAAGAAUAAAGUCUACAGAGACUCUGAUUUCCCUACCACUGAAAGUUUCUGUACAUCUUAUCUGUUUAGACUAAAUUUCUUUCCCAAGGUUAGAAAUAAGUUAGGAAAAAAUUCCACUAAAUAUUGCUAGAAAGGCCAAGAGCACAGAGACUAGUUCUACCAAAUAAAUUACCUCCUGCUAUAACAUUAUUGCUUAGCAGAGCUGAGCCUAUGCUUCGGAGCAAGCUCUAAGAAGUGCAGAAAACCUUAUUCUGCCUUGUUGCAAGAGAGAAACUAUUCUUAGCUUUCUCCUAAUGUACAUCACUCUGAUGUCCACCUUUUCUUUUGCUCCUAACUGCAGGCUACUCAUGAAAAAGUCAUAUUUUUCUGAGGAGAGUGAAGUAGAACCCGACUAACAUGUAUGUAACUAUUGCCUGCUGUAACUUCCAACAAGCACCCUUACAUCUCCUUCCAGGGCUAAGGUACUUACUGACCUUCUUGUAGCUUUAGCUGUGCUGCCCCUGCUUAUCUCCCAACCAGGAGUGCUGGGCCAGGCUCUAGCUGAGGGCUAAGCCCGAGCUUCCCAGCUGCUGUAGAGCCCAGGAGAAAGUGCUGCCAAGACGUCAGUGGCGUGGAGAACCACAGCAUCUCACACACGCUUCUCUGACAAGCAAACUAGGACUUGCGUACAGUCCUGUGUCAUACCCUGUAUCCCAUUUACAUCUGCUCAAAUGCUCUAAUAUACAACUCAAUAAAGGCUGACAGAUUUCCAGGAAAGCGGAUUUUUUCUGUGUCCCAUGCAAAACAAACUCUUGAAAUACAGCCUGGCAAAGCUGCACACAGCUACUUAGUUACUCCUGUGCUUCUGCAAAUAAACAGUUUCUCUGACAGA